RNAcentral lists this signal recognition particle RNA (117 nucleotides) under Gorilla gorilla gorilla (western lowland gorilla). Its description in RNAcentral is "Metazoan signal recognition particle RNA". It matches the Rfam family "Metazoan signal recognition particle RNA". Rfam says of the family: The signal recognition particle (SRP) is a universally conserved ribonucleoprotein. Lineage: Eukaryota; Metazoa; Chordata; Mammalia; Primates; Hominidae. The record is from Rfam by way of RNAcentral.
GCCGGGUGUGGUGGCUCACACCUGUAAUCCCAGCACUUUGGGAGGCUGAGGCAGGUGGAUCACCUGAGGUCAGGAGUUCGAGACCAGCCUGACCAACAUGGUGAAACCCCGUCUCUA